Molecule: transfer RNA, 72 nt
Filed under: Bacteroidota bacterium
Lineage: Bacteria; Pseudomonadati; Bacteroidota
Description: Bacteroidetes bacterium (activated sludge metagenome) tRNA-Asn
Rfam family: tRNA
About the family: Transfer RNA (tRNA) molecules are approximately 80 nucleotides in length. Their secondary structure includes four short double-helical elements and three loops (D, anti-codon, and T loops).
Source: RNAcentral
UCCGCGAUAGCUCAAUGGUGGAGCACGUGACUGUUAAUCACGGGGUUGUAGGUUCGAGUCCUACUCGCGGAG